UUCACAGACGUCGUGUCGAACAACUCUCUAUAAAUAGAUUUGGUACUAGCACAGAUGGUAAUCGAAGCCAACAAGUUAGAUAAGCAUUUUGCAUAGCUAUAUUUUAAGAGCUUCAAUCAGAAAAAUGGCAUCAUUGAAAGCUGAAAAGGCUGUUGGCACACAACUGUUUGGGCAGGCCAAGAAGGAGCCUGCCAAAACUAGUGAUGGUGCAUCCAAAGGUUCCGGCUCCAAGUCGGCAACAAAGAAGUCUGCAGCAAAGACUCAAGAGGCGGCGCCCAAGAAGAAGGGCAAGGGUGGAAAGUCAGCAGCGAAGCACUAACAGUAAUGCUGAACGCAUGAAGGUUCGCGAAAGGAGCUAAGCUACGUAUAUGAAUUUAAGGGAUGAAUUAUUAUUUGGCUUGUUAUGUUAUUUUGAAUAUUAAUUAGUGUGACCAUGGUCAUGGGACCUUGGUGUGUUUAUGUAUGUUGGCUUGCUUUUAUGGAGUAAUAAAAUAAAUUAAUACAUA
Long non-coding RNA from Cornus florida, 506 nucleotides. RefSeq lists it as uncharacterized. The record is from RefSeq and is a predicted model, not a curated record. NCBI's taxonomy places the organism in Eukaryota, Viridiplantae, Streptophyta, Magnoliopsida, Cornales, Cornaceae. The transcript has 2 exons.